UACGAAGGGGACUAGCGUUGUUCGGAAUUACUGGGCGUAAAGCGCACGUAGGCGGAUUUGUUAGUCAGGGGUGAAAUCCCGGGGCUUAACCUCGGAACUGCCUUUGAUACUGCAAGUCUCGAGUCCGAUAGAGGUGGGUGGAAUUCCUAGUGUAGAGGUGAAAUUCGUAGAUAUUAGGAAGAACACCGGUGGCGAAGGCGGCCCACUGGAUCGGUACUGACGCUGAGGUGCGAAAGCGUGGGGAGCAAACAGG
This 253-nucleotide ribosomal RNA is filed under the name uncultured bacterium. Its description in RNAcentral is "partial 16S ribosomal RNA". It matches the Rfam family "Bacterial small subunit ribosomal RNA", at positions 524 to 776 of the family's 1533-position model. The record is from RNAcentral.